AGUGAACGCUGGCGGUAGGCCUAACACAUGCAAGUCGAACGGCAGCACAGGAGAGCUUGCUCUCUGGGUGGCGAGUGGCGGACGGGUGAGGAAUACAUCGGAAUCUACUUUUUCGUGGGGGAUAACGUAGGGAAACUUACGCUAAUACCGCAUACGACCUACGGGUGAAAGCAGGGGACCUUCGGGCCUUGCGCGAUUGAAUGAGCCGAUGUCGGAUUAGCUAGUUGGCGGGGGUAAAGGCCCACCAAGGCGACGAUCCGUAGCUGGUCUGAGAUGAUGAUCAGCCACACUGGAACUGAGACACGGUCCAGACUCCUACGGGAGGCAGCAGUGGGGAAUAUUGGACAAUGGGCGCAAGCCUGAUCCAGCCAUACCGCGUGGGUGAAGAAGGCCUUCGGGUUGUAAAGCCCUUUUGUUGGGAAAGAAAUCCAGCUGGCUAAUACCCGGUUGGGAUGACGGUACCCAAAGAAUAAGCACCGGCUAACUUUGUGCCAGCCGCCGCGGUAA
Molecule: ribosomal RNA, 507 nt
Filed under: uncultured bacterium
Lineage: Bacteria
Description: partial 16S ribosomal RNA
Rfam family: Bacterial small subunit ribosomal RNA
Source: RNAcentral